RNAcentral lists this small RNA (527 nucleotides) under Pan troglodytes (chimpanzee). RNAcentral's name for it is "retained intron". The record is from RNAcentral. Lineage: Eukaryota; Metazoa; Chordata; Mammalia; Primates; Hominidae.
GCGGCCGCUCCUGCGACAGCCUCAACAACCGAUGUGAGGGCUCCUCGGUCCAGACACGGACCUGCCACAUUCAGGAGUGUGACAAGAGAUUUAAACAGGAUGGUGGCUGGAGCCACUGGUCCCCGUGGUCAUCUUGUUCUGUGACAUGUGGUGAUGGUGUGAUCACAAGGAUCCGGCUCUGCAACUCUCCCAGCCCCCAGAUGAACGGGAAACCCUGUGAAGGCGAAGCGCGGGAGACCAAAGCCUGCAAGAAAGACGCCUGCCCCAUCAAUGGAGGCUGGGGUCCUUGGUCACCAUGGGACAUCUGUUCUGUCACCUGUGGAGGAGGGGUACAGAAACGUAGUCGUCUCUGCAACAACCCCACACCCCAGUUUGGAGGCAAGGACUGCGUUGGUGAUGUAACAGAAAACCAGAUCUGCAACAAGCAGGACUGUCCGAUUGGUGAGCCAUGCAGCCCAGGAUGAAACGACCCAGGAGCUUUGCUCUUUUACUGAAUGCUGCAGUCAGCAUUCGAGGAGAUUCCAGCU